This 184-nucleotide unclassified non-coding RNA is filed under the name Microsporidia sp. RNAcentral describes it as "partial contains small subunit ribosomal RNA, internal transcribed spacer 1, and 5.8S ribosomal RNA". The stretch from base 1 to 47 matches the Rfam family "Eukaryotic small subunit ribosomal RNA", at positions 1785 to 1831 of the family's 1831-position model. The record is from RNAcentral. Lineage: Eukaryota; Fungi; Microsporidia.
AAAGUCGUAACAAGGUUUCCGUAGGUGAACCUGCGGAAGGAUCAUUAGCAGAUUUUGUGGUUGUGGUGGGUUGGUGGUUUGUAAUGACUGCCAACAAUACCACACAUUUGCGCUUGUUUUGUUUCACAGAGUAAAAAUGCAAACCAAUUACACACAACUUUUAACAAUGGAUCUCUGGGCUCUU